Molecule: ribosomal RNA, 749 nt
Filed under: uncultured methane-oxidizing archaeon
Lineage: Archaea
Description: bacterial SSU rRNA
Rfam family: Archaeal small subunit ribosomal RNA
Source: RNAcentral
CAACUUACCCUUGGGACCGGGAUAACUCCUGGGAAACUGGAGAUAAUACCGGAUAGAGCAUCGAAUGCUGGAAUGCACGAUGUUCAAAAGCUGAGGUGCCCAAGGAUAGGUCUGCGGCCGAUUAGGUUGUUGUUGAUGUGAUGGAUUAACAAGCCUACGAUCGGUAUGGGUUGUGAGAGCAAUAGCCCAGAGAUGGGUUCUGAGAAAAGAACCCAGGUCCUACGGGACGCAUCAGGCGCGAAAACUUUACAAUGUGCGAAAGCACGAUAAGGGAACUCUGAGUGCCUCCUACGGAGGCUGUUCAGUUGUCUAAAACGCAUCUGAAGGAAGGGCUGGGUAAGACCGGUGCCAGCCGCCGCGGUAACACCGGCAGCCCAAGUGGUAGCCAUGUUUAUUGGGUCUAAAGCGUCCGUAGCCGGCCACGUAAGUUCCUUGGGAAAUUUGAUCGCUUAACGGUCAAGCUUUCGGGGAAUACUGCCUGGCUUGGGACCGGGAGAGGUCAGAGGUACUCUAAGGGUAGGGGUGAAAUCCAUUAAUCCUUGGGGGACCACCGGUAGCGAAGGCGUCUGACCAGACCGGAUCCGACGGUGAGGGACGAAGGCUAGGGUCACGAACCGGAUUAGAUACCCGGGUAGUCCUAGCUGUAAACGAUGCGGGCCAGGUGUUGGCAUUACUGCGAGUGAUGCCAGYGCCGAAGGGAAGCCGUUAAGCCCGCCAUCUGGGGAGUACGGUCGCAAGGCUGAACUUAA